UGCAGUCGAGCGCUCUCUUCGGAGGGAGCGGCGGACGGGUGAGUAACGCGUGGGAACGUGCCCUUCUCUAUGGAAUAGCCACUGGAAACGGUGAGUAAUACCAUAUACGCCCUUCGGGGGAAAGAUUUAUCGGAGAAGGAUCGGCCCGCGUUAGAUUAGGUAGUUGGUGGGGUAAUGGCCUACCAAGCCUACGAUCUAUAGCUGGUUUUAGAGGAUGAUCAGCCACACUGGGACUGAGACACGGCCCAGACUCCUACGGGAGGCAGCAGUGGGGAAUCUUAGACAAUGGGCGCAAGCCUGAUCUAGCCAUGCCGCGUGAGUGAUGAAGGCCUUAGGGUCGUAAAGCUCUUUCGCCAGAGAUGAUAAUGACAGUAUCUGGUAAAGAAACCCCGGCUAACUCCGUGCCAGCAGCCGCGGUAAUACGGAGGGGGUUAGCGUUGUUCGGAAUUACUGGGCGUAAAGCGCACGUAGGCGGAUUAGAAAGUUGGGGGUGAAAUCCCGGGGCUCAACCUCGGAACGGCCUCCAAAACUCCUAGUCUAGAGUUCGAGAGAGGUGAGUG
RNAcentral lists this ribosomal RNA (560 nucleotides) under uncultured bacterium. RNAcentral's name for it is "bacterial SSU rRNA". It matches the Rfam family "Bacterial small subunit ribosomal RNA", at positions 56 to 663 of the family's 1533-position model. The record is from RNAcentral.